AAAGAAAUAAGUUAAAUAAACUAUUAGCCUUCAAAGCUGAAAAUGUACAUCUUUCUUUG
This 59-nucleotide transfer RNA is filed under the name Ergasilus tumidus. RNAcentral's name for it is "tRNA-Trp". Lineage: Eukaryota; Metazoa; Arthropoda; Copepoda; Poecilostomatoida; Ergasilidae. The record is from RNAcentral.